AGUGCGCGUUUCUGUAGCAAUACAGAAAUGGCGCACGGCGCACGGGUACGUAACACGUGGGUAAUCUGCCCUCUGAUGGGGAAUAACCCGCCGAAAGGCGGGCUAAUUCCGCAUAACAUUCCUUGGACUCCGGUUCGGGGAUUCAAAGGCGUAAGUCGUCGGAGGUGGAGCCCGCGCACGAUUAGCUAGUUGGUAGGGUAACGGCCUACCAAGGCUUUGAUCGUUAGCUGGUCUGAGAGGAUGGCCAGCCACACUGGAACUGAGACACGGUCCAGACUCCUACGGGAGGCAGCAGUGGGGAAUCUUGCACAAUGGGCGAAAGCCUGAUGCAGCGACGCCGCGUGGGGGAUGAAGCUUCUCGGAGUGUAAACCCCUUUCGACCCGGACGAAUGCCCCGCAAGGGGACUGACGGUACGGGUAUAAGAAGCCCCGGCUAACUACGUGCCAGCAGCCGCGGUAAGACGUAGGGGGCCAGCGUUGUUCGGAAUUACUGGGUGUAAAGGGUUCGUAGGCGGUGUGGCAAGUUGGGAGUGAAAUCUCUGGGCUCAACUCAGAGGCUGCUUCCAAAACUGCUGUGCUGGAGUGUGGGAGAGGCGCGUGGAAUUGCAGGUGUAGCGGUGAAAUGCGUAGAUAUCUGCAGGAACACCCGUGGCGAAAGCGGCGCGCUGGACCACUACUGACGCUGAGGAACGAAAGCUAGGGGAGCAAACAGGAUUAGAUACCCUGGUAGUCCUAGCCCUAAACGAUCAGGACUUGGGGUGCCACCCGUUCGGGUGUCGUCCCGGAGCUAACGCGUUAAGUCCUGCACCUGGGGAGUACGGUCGCAAGACUGAAACUCAAAGGAAUUGACGGGGGCCCG
RNAcentral lists this ribosomal RNA (859 nucleotides) under uncultured soil bacterium. RNAcentral's name for it is "bacterial SSU rRNA". It matches the Rfam family "Bacterial small subunit ribosomal RNA", at positions 64 to 923 of the family's 1533-position model. The record is from RNAcentral.